CCUACGGGAGGCAGCAGUGGGGAAUUUUGGACAAUGGGCGCAAGCCUGAUCCAGCAAUGCCGCGUGAGUGAAGAAGGCCUUCGGGUUGUAAAGCUCUUUUGUCAGGGAAGAAACGGUCUACUCUAAUACAGUGGGCUAAUGACGGUACCUGAAGAAUAAGCACCGGCUAACUACGUGCCAGCAGCCGCGGUAAUACGUAGGGUGCAAGCGUUAAUCGGAAUUACUGGGCGUAAAGCGUGCGCAGGCGGUUAUAUAAGUCAGAUGUGAAAUCCCCGGGCUCAACCUGGGAACUGCAUUUGAGACUGUAUGGCUAGAGUGUGUCAGAGGGGGGUAGAAUUCCACGUGUAGCAGUGAAAUGCGUAGAUAUGUGGAGGAAUACCGAUGGCGAAGGCAGCCCCCUGGGAUAACACUGACGCUCAUGCACGAAAGCGUGGGGAGCAAACAGGAUUAGAUACCCUGGUAGUCCACGCCCUAAACGAUGUCUACUAGUUGUCGGGACUUAAUUGUCUUGGUAACGCAGCUACGCGUGAGUAGACCGCCGUCGGGAGGUACGGUCGCGAGAGUAAACGUACGAAGAAGUAGUACGGCGUGAGACGUAGCGACGACGACGACGAGGGAGGAGG
Molecule: ribosomal RNA, 623 nt
Filed under: uncultured bacterium
Lineage: Bacteria
Description: bacterial SSU rRNA
Rfam family: Bacterial small subunit ribosomal RNA (bases 1-540)
Source: RNAcentral